RNAcentral lists this ribosomal RNA (253 nucleotides) under uncultured bacterium. Its description in RNAcentral is "partial 16S ribosomal RNA". It matches the Rfam family "Bacterial small subunit ribosomal RNA", at positions 524 to 776 of the family's 1533-position model. The record is from RNAcentral.
UACGGAGGGGGCUAGCGUUGUUCGGAAUUACUGGGCGUAAAGCGUACGUAGGCGGCUUUGUAAGUUAGAGGUGAAAGCCCGGGGCUCAACUCCGGAAUUGCCUUUAAGACUGCAUCGCUAGAAUCAUGGAGAGGUGAGUGGAAUUCCGAGUGUAGAGGUGAAAUUCGUAGAUAUUCGGAAGAACACCAGUGGCGAAGGCGACUCACUGGACAUGUAUUGACGCUGAGGUACGAAAGCGUGGGGAGCAAACGGG